GUAAGGAAUAUUGGACAAUGGACGCAAGUCUGAUCCAGCCAUGCCGCGUGAAGGAUUAAGGUCCUCUGGAUUGUAAACUUCUUUUAUAAGGGACGAAAAAAGGCUUUUCUAAGUCGUCUGACGGUACCUUAUGAAUAAGCACCGGCUAACUCCGUGCCAGCAGCCGCGGUAAUACGGAGGGUGCAAGCGUUAUCCGGAUUCACUGGGUUUAAAGGGUGCGUAGGCGGGCAGGUAAGUCAGUGGUGAAAUCCUAGAGCUUAACUCUAGAACUGCCAUUGAUACUAUCUGUCUUGAAUAUUGUGGAGGUAAGCGGAAUAUGUCAUGUAGCGGUGAAAUGCUUAGAUAUGACAUAGAACACCUAUUGCGAAGGCAGCUUACUACGCAUAUAUUGACGCUGAGGCACGAAAGCGAGGGGAGCAAAUGGGAUUAGAAACCCUGGUAGUCC
This 445-nucleotide ribosomal RNA is filed under the name uncultured bacterium. RNAcentral's name for it is "bacterial SSU rRNA". It matches the Rfam family "Bacterial small subunit ribosomal RNA", at positions 354 to 796 of the family's 1533-position model. The record is from RNAcentral.